Small nuclear RNA from Urocitellus parryii (Arctic ground squirrel), 70 nucleotides. The record is from Ensembl. Lineage: Eukaryota; Metazoa; Chordata; Mammalia; Rodentia; Sciuridae.
GUGCUUGCUUCAGCAGUAUAUAUACUAAAAUUGGAACAAUACAGAGAAUGUUAGCAUGGCUCCUGCACAA